This 495-nucleotide ribosomal RNA is filed under the name uncultured bacterium. RNAcentral describes it as "bacterial SSU rRNA". It matches the Rfam family "Bacterial small subunit ribosomal RNA", at positions 8 to 475 of the family's 1533-position model. The record is from RNAcentral.
AGAGUUUGAUCAUGGCUCAGAAUGAACGCUGGCGGCGUGCUUAACACAUGCAAGUCGCACGAGAACUCUUCUGCUUGCAGAAGAUAGUAAAGUGGCGCACGGGUGAGUAACGCGUGGGCAAUCUACCUCCGAAUUGGGGAUAACUCCGCGAAAGCGGGGCUAAUACCGAAUAACAUCCUGAGAACUUUGGUUUUUGGGAUCAAAGGUGGCCUCUAUAUAUAAGCUACUGUUUGGAGAUGAGCCCGCGUACCAUUAGCUUGUUGGUAGGGUAAUGGCCUACCAAGGCUACGAUGGUUAGCUGGUCUGAGAGGAUGAUCAGCCACACUGGAACUGACACACGGUCCAGACUCCUACGGGAGGCAGCAGUGAGGAAUUUUGCGCAAUGGGGGAAACCCUGACGCAGCAACGCCGCGUGAGUGAUGAAGGCUUUCGAGUCGUAAAACUCUGUCAAGUGAGAAGAAACUAUCCUGCGCUAAUACCGCGGGAUACUGACGG